Gymnogyps californianus (California condor) is the source of this 365-nucleotide long non-coding RNA. RefSeq lists it as uncharacterized. NCBI's taxonomy places the organism in Eukaryota, Metazoa, Chordata, Aves, Accipitriformes, Cathartidae. The transcript is spliced from 3 exons. The record is from RefSeq and is a predicted model, not a curated record.
UUUCCACUGAUACUCUAGAGCAGUAUCAGUGGAACGUCAGACCUCAUCUGAUGAAAGCAGCAGAUGUCAAUUCUCAACAUCUGUUGUACAGCUUAAGGACCAUCACGAUACAUACCUAAAGCCAUACUCUUUGUCAGAAAGGAAAACAAGACUCCCUCUCCGUUGGGAGAAACACGUCAUUCACGUCACACAAAGACUGAAAACCCUAAGAGAGACUGGAAUUCAUGGCCAGGUUCCCAGAUGGAGCUGGGCGAAGAAGCUGCAGUCUAGCCUUUCAUGGGUAUUGUAAAAAUGACCUUUCUAAAUCUCAGCUGUACUAUUAUUACAGUAUAAGAAAGAGAGAAGUCUGAGAAAGACGUAGAAAG